This 1514-nucleotide unclassified non-coding RNA is filed under the name Hevea brasiliensis (rubber tree). The record is from RNAcentral. Lineage: Eukaryota; Viridiplantae; Streptophyta; Magnoliopsida; Malpighiales; Euphorbiaceae.
GGAGUUUUCUUUAAAUUAAGAUCUGCUAACAGUUGAAUCUUUAUAAUUUGAGAAAUCAACCCAAGAACCAGAUGAGGUCUUCCCUCCACCAAGUCCUGAGUACCAAUGUUUACUACGGUGCAGCCAAUAGCUUUAGCAGAGUUGAGGCAGAGGGUAUGAUUUUCAUUCCUCUCCCAUGGGUUAAGGACCCGUUUGGUGUUGAUAGCUCGUUCAUCUAUUGUCCCCGGAACAGCAACAUUGAUAAGCUUGCAUAGAAGUACUCCAUCUCUCACAAGAUUGAAUAAAUCAUUUGAUGCUGGAUCUAAGGGAAGAAAGUGCUUCAGAAAUGGGUCGUCUCCCAGAUAGCUGUUUAUGUGAACAACAUAAGAUGCUUUUUCUGAUUCAUUAAUGGUGUGAAGAAGAGUGGUUGUCAUGGCCUUGAGGAAUGAUGAAGCAUGCUUUGCCUCCCCUGACCUUGCAGUCGCUUGACCUUGCAAAUUUAGAUAAGCCCUGAGGAAGCCUUCAAAAUCAAUCUCAUUGCUCACGUCAGGAAAGGAUUCACUCAAGAUCCCUCUAAUUUCCUCCUCAUUGAACAUGGAAUUGAAAGCUUUUAAUUUCACCAUAAAAGGAGGCAAAUCUUCAACAGUUACUUUGCCAUUUUGAUUCUUCACUGAUGUAAAUUUGGAUUUGAGGCUGCGAAGCUCGACCUGUGUAAACUGACUCUGAAGCCAUUGAUCAGAGACAUGAACACCCACAUAACUCGACAUCUCAGCUAAUUGCCAACGCGGAGAACGCUAACUAUUCUCAAAAUUGAUCUUUCAGACAAGCAAAGUGGACAAAUGACUCGAGAGUCUUUGAAACCAGAGUUCAAAAAAUAAUGCCAGAAUCAAAGACUCAAAUUCAGAUCCUAUUAAUGUACAAAUAACAACAACCCGCAAUUAAAUUACCCUUGUAUGUGGCUUAGCUUGCAUGAAUCACAAAAAAUCAGUUCUAUAUCCCUGAACAUAAAACAAUAUUUAAGAGUUCAUUAAAAUAAAGCCCAUUUAGUAAAUAAACAAACCGAACAAGCAUGAUCAAAUGAUCUUUAAUUACUAGUGCUUCAUUAAUAAAACCAAAAAAAAAAUGAAUCAAACCCGAACAACAAAAUAGGGAAUAGAAGAGAAUCCAAUAAAAAUGACCAUGAUAUUCGAUUAAAGAAAUAAUAAAUUACACUCAGGAGGAAAAACAAAAAGAAAGGCAAUAAACGUGGAAAUAACAUAUGGUAAACCCUGUUUUCCUCACAUAUAAACAAAAAUGAGCUUAAACCCAAUAAGAAAAACGUAAAAUCAAAGAGAAUCCAGAAUUGCAUACCUAUACUGAAGCCCAGAAACAACAGAUGCACGUUAAAACCUAUCAGCUGCUUUCAGGAAGCAUUCAUACAUUCACGUACCGACCUAAACAGGCAAGAGUAAGAAAAGGGAGAUGUUAGAGACAGAAUGGAUCGAUAUUUCUUCGUGUGAGAGCAAAGCCAGGGAGAGAAAAAGAGAGAGAGAGAG